Molecule: transfer RNA, 85 nt
Filed under: Felis catus (domestic cat)
Lineage: Eukaryota; Metazoa; Chordata; Mammalia; Carnivora; Felidae
Rfam family: tRNA
About the family: Transfer RNA (tRNA) molecules are approximately 80 nucleotides in length. Their secondary structure includes four short double-helical elements and three loops (D, anti-codon, and T loops). Further hydrogen bonds mediate the characteristic L-shaped molecular structure. tRNAs have two regions of fundamental functional importance: the anti-codon, which is responsible for specific mRNA codon recognition, and the 3' end, to which the tRNAs corresponding amino acid is attached (by aminoacyl-tRNA synthetases). tRNAs cope with the degeneracy of the genetic code in two manners: having more than one tRNA (with a specific anti-codon) for a particular amino acid; and 'wobble' base-pairing, i.e. permitting non-standard base-pairing at the 3rd anti-codon position.
Source: Rfam by way of RNAcentral
GCCUGGGUGGCUCAGUCAGUUGAGCAUCUGACUUCAGCUCAGGUCAUGAUCUCACGGUUUGUGGGUUCGAGCCCCGCAUCGGGCU